Molecule: ribosomal RNA, 741 nt
Filed under: uncultured Methanosaeta sp.
Lineage: Archaea; Methanobacteriati; Methanobacteriota; Methanomicrobia; Methanotrichales; Methanotrichaceae
Description: bacterial SSU rRNA
Rfam family: Archaeal small subunit ribosomal RNA
Source: RNAcentral
GUCUCGAUUGCUGGAAUGCAUCGAGAUUUAAAGCUCCGGCGCCUAAGGAUGGGUCUGCGGCCUAUCAGGUAGUAGUGGGUGUAGCGUACCUACUAGCCUACGACGGGUACGGGUUGUGAGAGCAAGAGCCCGGAGAUGGAUUCUGAGACACGAAUCCAGGCCCUACGGGGUGCAGCAGGCGCGAAAACUUUACAAUGCUGGCAACAGCGAUAAGGGAACCUCGAGUGCCAGGUUACAAAUCUGGCUGUCGAGAUGCCUAAAAAGCAUUUCAUAGCAAGGGCCGGGCAAGACCGGUGCCAGCCGCCGCGGUAACACCGGCGGCUCGAGUGGUAACCGUUAUUAUUGGGUCUAAAGGGUCUGUAGCCGGCCGGAUAAGUCUCUUGAGAAAUCUGGCAGCUUAACUGUCAGGCUUUCAGGAGAUACUGUCUGGCUCGAGGCCGGGAGAGGUGAGAGGUACUUCAGGGGUAGGGGUGAAAUCUUGUAAUCCUUGAAGGACCACCAGUGGCGAAGGCGUCUCACCAGAACGGACCUGACGGCAAGGGACGAAAGCUAGGGGCACGAACCGGAUUAGAUACCCGGGUAGUCCUAGCCGUAAACGAUACUCGCUAGGUGUCGGCCACGGUGCGACCGUUGUCGGUGCCGUAGGGAAGCCGUGAAGCGAGCCACCUGGGAAGUACGGCCGCAAGGCUGAAACUUAAAGGAAUUGGCGGGGGAGCACCACAACGGGUGGAGCUUGCGGUU